AGUGAACGCUGGCGGUAGGCCUAACACAUGCAAGUCGAACGGCAGCACAGUAAGAGCUUGCUCUUACGGGUGGCGAGUGGCGGACGGGUGAGGAAUACAUCGGAAUCUACUUUUUCGCGGGGGAUAACGUAGGGAAACUUACGCUAAUACCGCAUACGACCUACGGGUGAAAGCAGGGGAUCUUCGGACCUUGCGCGAUUGAAUGAGCCGAUGUCGGAUUAGCUAGUUGGCGGGGUAAAGGCCCACCAAGGCGACGAUCCGUAGCUGGUCUGAGAGGAUGAUCAGCCACACUGGAACUGAGACACGGUCCAGACUCCUACGGGAGGCAGCAGUGGGGAAUAUUGGACAAUGGGCGCAAGCCUGAUCCAGCCAUGCCGCGUGGGUGAAGAAGGCCUUCGGGUUGUAAAGCCCUUUUGUUGGGAAAGAAAAGCAGCAGGUUAAUACCCCGCUGUUCUGACGGUACCCAAAGAAUAAGCACCGGCUAACUUCGUG
RNAcentral lists this ribosomal RNA (492 nucleotides) under uncultured bacterium. RNAcentral's name for it is "partial 16S ribosomal RNA". It matches the Rfam family "Bacterial small subunit ribosomal RNA", at positions 29 to 507 of the family's 1533-position model. The record is from RNAcentral.